UACAGAGGUCUCAAGCGUUGUUCGGAUUCAUUGGGCGUAAAGGGUGUGUAGGUGGCGCGCUAAGUCGGGUGUGAAAUUUCGGAGCUUAACUCCGAAACUGCAUUUGAUACUGGCGUGCUUGAGGACUGGAGAGGAGACUGGAAUUCAUGGUGUAGCAGUGAAAUGCGUAGAGAUCAUGAGGAAGACCAGUGGCGAAGGCGGGUCUCUGGGCUGAUACCGACGCUGAGGCGCGAAAGCCAGGGGAGCAAACGGG
RNAcentral lists this ribosomal RNA (253 nucleotides) under uncultured bacterium. RNAcentral describes it as "partial 16S ribosomal RNA". It matches the Rfam family "Bacterial small subunit ribosomal RNA", at positions 524 to 776 of the family's 1533-position model. The record is from RNAcentral.